This is a non-coding RNA of Poecilia reticulata (guppy), 930 nucleotides long. The record is from RefSeq and is a predicted model, not a curated record. Lineage: Eukaryota; Metazoa; Chordata; Actinopteri; Cyprinodontiformes; Poeciliidae.
AACUUUAAAGUAUCACUCAAACUCCACUCAAUGAUUAAUUUUUAAACUUUUCAAUAUUAUUCUCCCCUUCAAAACAGCUUCAAGAAAAAAAUCAGUUUUAACAGCAAGCCCAAUAUGAUAUUCAUUAUAUUAAAGAAACAAUAAUAGUGAACAUAUCGCAUUAUGGUGCAGAUUCACCAUAAUGUGAACAUGUGAUUGAAUUCCAAUAGUUUUUGUCUCUUUUAUCUCAGCUCCACUGUCGGGCAGAAAGCAGUGAUUUUAUCAGACCCCACAAACCUCCCUGUCAUUUAACAGCCUGCAGACACUCCACCAAUAACCACAGAUGACCCACAAGAGAGAGGAGAAUAGGCCAGGAAGGACACUCUGGACACUCGAAAGCUUUGGAGAGGAGAAAACGAGGGAAGGGAAAGUGGAGGUCGCCAUGCCUCCGUGGAGGAAAGUAGAGAUGGCUCAAACAACAGCAAGACUUUUUAUGGAGGUCAACGUUUGAAAUUUGUGAAAGAAGGAAAAUGCAUAUGCAGGCUGAGCAGAAGAGUUGAGUGUAUGGGAUCGACUCAUGAAAGAAGAAGAACUGAACACCGUCCCGCAGCAGUGUGUGAUAAGCAGGUGACCACCAUCAGGAGGAGAGCUCUGACCUUCCCAGGGUCCAGGAUCUACACUUAUUCUGCAUCCCGCAAGGAUCAAGUGGGUUUGAAAAACAAAUGCAUUGAUGCAUUGAUUAUACAGCAUGUAUUGCAGGUCCAUAAUCAGCCAGUGGAGGGCAGCCCAACCUAGACUUUAUCAAUGAAUUUAUUUGUUCAAGACGUACAAUAUAUGAUUUCUUUAGGGUAACACAGUUUCCAUGGAAAUUAACAGAGAUGCAUCAUAUAUGAUGAAUAAAUAUCUGUAUUGUAACACAAUUUUACUGCCUGUUUUAUUAUUUUUUUUAAU